AGGGUGUAUGGGGGAUGUCUUGGCGCUGAGAGGCGAUGAAGGGCGUGGUAAGCUGCGAUAAGCCCCGGGGUGCUGCACACAAGUUUAUCCGGGGAUUCCCGAAUGGGACAACCCAGUCCUGGGCAACCAGGAUUUUCCUUUUCCGAAUCCAUAGGGAAAGGUCAAGCUAACGUGGGGAAGUGACACAUCUCAGUACCCACAGGAAAAGAAAUCAACCGAGAUUCCGAAAGUAGCGGCGAGCGAAAUCGGAAGAGCCUAAACCGGAGGCACGUAAGUGUCUCCGGGGUCGUGGGACCGCAUAACGAUGAGGAUAAGCUGCGCGAAAUGCCUGGAAAGGCAUGCCACAGAAGGUGACAGUCCUGUAGCGUGGUUAAUCCAAGUCUGGCGGUAUCCCGAGUAGCACCGGGCACGGGAAACCUGGUGUGAAUCUGGGGGGACCACCCUCUAAGGCUAAAUACUACUCAGCGACCGAUAACGAAUCAGUAGCGCGAGCGAACGAUGAAAAGCACCGGAAGUACCGGAGUUAAAAGACCCUGAAACCAUACACCUACACAGCGGUUGGAGCCGUGCUUGCACGGUGACAGCGUGCCUGUUGAAGAAUGAGUCCGCGACUUAGUGGGUGCGGCCAGGUUAAGCCCCGGAAAGGGCGAAGCCGCAGGGAAACCGAGUCCGAAUAGGGCGCUCAGUCGUACUCACUAUACCCGAAGCCGUGGCGAUCUAACCAUGGGCAGGAUGAAGUGCGGGUAAAACCGCAUGGAGGUCCGAACGCCUCUGUGUUGAAAAACGGUGCGAUGACCUGUGGUUAGGAGUGAUAGGCUAAUCAAGCCCGGUGAUAUCUGGUUCUCCCCGAAAUAGCCUUAGGGCUAGCGUCGGAUAAAAUAGCAGAUGGGGGUAGAGGACUGAAUGGGCUAGGGGUUCUACCGAACUACCAAACCCAAUCCAACUCCGAAUACCAUCUGUGGUAACCCGGCAGUCGGACCCUGGGGGAUAAGCUUCAGGGUCGAGAGGGAAACAGCCCAGAAUACCGGCUAAGGCCCCAAAGUUCACCUCAGUUAAUAAGGAGGUGGGAGUGCGAAGACAGCCAGGAUGUUGGCUUAGAAGCAGCCACCAUUUAAAAAGUGCGUAAUAGCUUACUGGUCGAGCAUUCUCGCGCCGAAAAUUACCGGGAAUAAGGUGAACGCCGAAGCCGUAUCAUCCGCGCGCCUGUGUGCGCGCGGUUGGGUAGGGGAGCGCUGUACGGGAGAUACAAGCGGUGGCGAGAGCCUCCGUAGCGGCCCGUACAGGUGAUUAUGCGGACACGAGUAGCGAUUAAGGAGGCGAGAAUCCUCCUCCCCGUAAGCCUAAGGUUUCCUGGGCCAGGUCAUUCCUCCCAGGGUUAGGCGGGUCCUAAGGCGAGGCCGAGAGGCGUAGCUGAUGGAAAACCGGUUAAUAUUCCGGUCCCACCGGAAACCGUUAUCACCCUAGGCGUGACGCAGGUAGCCAUGGCCGGACAACCCGUUAGCUGGGUGUUCCAAGGGCAAACGGCUUUGAAGCUCCCAGGAAAAUCCAGGAGCUGAGCCCGAAGUCCGAGUGCAAGGCGGGUGACACCGCCGAAGCGGUCACAGCUAUACUGCCAAGAAAAGCGUCGAGGGAAGGCCAACGGUGCCCGUACCGUAAACCGACACAGGUAGGCGAGGCGAGUAGCCUCAGGGGCGCGAGAUAACUCUCGUGAAGGAACUCGGCAAAUUGGCUCCGUAACUUCGGGAGAAGGAGCGCCUAAUAGGGGUGUAAAAGCCCCGAAAGGCCGCAGCGAAACGGUCCCUGGAACUGUUUACCAAAAACACAGGACUGCGCAAAGUCGCAAAGACGACGUAUGCAGUCUGACGCCUGCUCUGUGCCGGAAGGUUAAGGGAAGUUGUCAGGAGGUUCGCCUCCAAAGCAAUGAACCGAAGCCCCGGUUAACGGCGGCCGUAACUAUGACGGUCCUAAGGUAGCGAAAUACCUUGUCGGGUAAGUUCCGACCUGCAUGAAUGGCGUAAUAACAGGGGUACUGUCUCCACGAGAGGCUCGGCGAAACUGUAGCAGUGGUGAAGAUGCCACUUACCCGCGGCUAGACGGAAAGACCCUGUGGACCUUUACUGUACUCUACUAUUGGGUCUUUGUGCUUGUUGCGUAGGAUAGGUGGGAGACUUCGAAGCACCGUUCUCGGACGGUGUGGAGUCGUCGGUGAAAUACCACCCUUCGAGUAUGAAGAUUCUAACCGGGACCCGUAAUCCGGGCUCGGAACCGUGGUAGACGGGCAGUUUGACUGGGGCGGUCCCCUCCCAAAGAGUAACGGAGGGGCUCAAAGGUGCGUUCAGCACGGUUGGCAAUCGUGCGUCGAGUGUAAGGGCACAAACGCGCUUAACUGCGAGAGAAAAACCUCAAGCAGGUGGGAAACCAGGACCUAGUGAUCCGGCGGUUCUUCGUGGAAAGGCCGUCGCUCAACUGAUAAAAGGUACCCCGGGGAUAACAGGCUGAUCUCCCCCAAGCGUCCAUAGCGACGGGGAGGUUUGGCACCUCGAUGUCGACUCAUCGCAUCCUGGAGCUGCAGUCGGUUCCAAGGGUUCGGCUGUUCGCCGAUUAAAGCGGUACGUGAGUUGGGUUCAGACCGACGUGAGUCAGGUCGGUCCCUAUCUGCCGUGGGCGUAGGAUCCUUGAGGAGAUUCGUCUCUAGUACGAGAGGAUUGAGACGGAGGCACCCCUGGUGUUCCAGUUGGGCUGCUAAGCCCACCGCUGGGUAGCUAUGUGCCGAUAGGAUAAACGCUGAAAGCAUCUAAGCGUGAAGCCAGCUCCAAGACUAGGGAUCCCUAUGAGGCUCGUUGU
Molecule: ribosomal RNA, 2844 nt
Filed under: bacterium UW 659-2-F09
Lineage: Bacteria
Description: bacterial LSU rRNA
Rfam family: Bacterial large subunit ribosomal RNA
Source: RNAcentral